This is a non-coding RNA of Pelobates cultripes (western spadefoot toad), 230 nucleotides long. Lineage: Eukaryota; Metazoa; Chordata; Amphibia; Anura; Pelobatidae. The record is from the annotation of a GenBank genome assembly.
CAGGAGGGCUUCCAACUAAUGGCCAUUGGAGUUACUAAAUAACCUCCAUUUAUUUAAAUAUGCAUGGGGAUUUAGGAGGAGUGCAGGUAACUUUUUUCUUUGGUUUUUACUAUAUGUAUUGGGGCUGUUGUCUACUAUGGUCAUUGCUGCUAUAUAAUCCUUUAACUGUGCAUGAUAUUGAUUGGGAAUAGAACCAAUAUUUAACAAUUCUGGAUUUAAAUCAUUUUUCU